This 58-nucleotide transfer RNA is filed under the name Agama agama (Red-headed rock agama). Its description in RNAcentral is "tRNA-Cys". The record is from RNAcentral. Lineage: Eukaryota; Metazoa; Chordata; Lepidosauria; Squamata; Agamidae.
UAAACCUAAGAAGAAUUACUUCUUACCUAAACUUGCAAUUUAGUAUUUCGUUAGGCCU